This is a non-coding RNA of Sistotremastrum suecicum HHB10207 ss-3, 93 nucleotides long. NCBI's taxonomy places the organism in Eukaryota, Fungi, Basidiomycota, Agaricomycetes, Sistotremastrales, Sistotremastraceae. The record is from Rfam.
UUCAAGAUGAUUAGUUUUCAAGGAAUAGUUCACACUGAAACAUUCCAUGUUGAUACAUCACUGCAUGUCUUUCGCUCCUAUCUGAUUCCUCCA